CACCACGCGCCCGCCGCGCGCCGCGCGCACGCCUGCCCGCACGCCGACUGUCAGCAAAGCUUCACGAACAUGAGUUCCCUGUAUAUGCACACGAAGAAAGUACAUAAAAAGAAAGAAAAUGAUCAACCAGCGAAUCCCACGACUAGUGACAAUCAAGAAUUACCAAAAGUAACGUCCGAAAAUUUGUUCAUGGUAAGUGUAAUAAUUAUGGGUUAAAUAAAGCAACUUAUUACACGUGUCUAAAACAUUAGAAAGAUAUUUUAUUUUUAUUGAUUUUAUUUUAUUUAAAACAUCAUCA
Molecule: unclassified non-coding RNA, 298 nt
Filed under: Melitaea cinxia (Glanville fritillary)
Lineage: Eukaryota; Metazoa; Arthropoda; Insecta; Lepidoptera; Nymphalidae
Description: misc RNA ENSMCXG00005009661.1
Source: RNAcentral